GAGGAUAUAGCUCAAGUGGCAGAGUGGAUGCUUAGCAGGCAUGAGGUCCUGGGUUCAAUCCCCAGGCCCUUCA
Transfer RNA from Camelus ferus (Wild Bactrian camel), 73 nucleotides. It matches the Rfam family "tRNA". From Rfam's summary of the family: Transfer RNA (tRNA) molecules are approximately 80 nucleotides in length. Their secondary structure includes four short double-helical elements and three loops (D, anti-codon, and T loops). Lineage: Eukaryota; Metazoa; Chordata; Mammalia; Artiodactyla; Camelidae. The record is from Rfam.